Molecule: ribosomal RNA, 411 nt
Filed under: uncultured Actinomyces sp.
Lineage: Bacteria; Bacillati; Actinomycetota; Actinomycetes; Actinomycetales; Actinomycetaceae
Description: bacterial SSU rRNA
Rfam family: Bacterial small subunit ribosomal RNA
Source: RNAcentral
CCUACGGGGGGCUGCAGUGGGGAAUAUUGGACAAUGGGCGCAAGCCUGAUCCAGCCAUGCCGCGUGAGUGAUGAAGUCCCUAGGGUUGUAAAGCUCUUUUGUGCGGGAAGAUAAUGACGGUACCGCAAGAAUAAGCCCCGGCUAACUUCGUGCCAGCAGCCGCGGUAAUACGAAGGGGGCUAGCGUUGCUCGGAAUCACUGGGCGUAAAGGGUGCGUAGGCGGGUCUUUAAGUCAGGGGUGAAAUCCUGGAGCUCAACUCCAGAACUGCCUUUGAUACUGAAGAUCUUGAGUUCGGGAGAGGUGAGUGGAACUGCGAGUGUAGAGGUGAAAUUCGUAGAUAUUCGCAAGAACACCAGUGGCGAAGGCGGCUCACUGGCCCGAUACUGACGCUGAGGCACUAAAGCGUGGGG